Molecule: unclassified non-coding RNA, 347 nt
Filed under: soil metagenome
Description: partial contains 5.8S ribosomal RNA, internal transcribed spacer 2, and large subunit ribosomal RNA
Rfam family: 5.8S ribosomal RNA (bases 1-121)
Source: RNAcentral
GAUGAAGAACGCAGCGAAAUGCGAUAAGUAAUGCGAAUUGCAGAAUUCCAGUGAGUCAUCGAGUCUUUGAACGCACAUUGCGCCCCCUGGUAUUCCGGGGGGCAUGCCUGUCCGAGCGUCAUUGCUGCCCUCAAGCACGGCUUGUGUGUUGGGCCCCGUCCUCCGAUCCCGGGGGACGGGCCCGAAAGGCAGCGGCGGCACCGCGUCCGGUCCUCGAGCGUAUGGGGCUUUGUCACCCGCUCUGUAGGCCCGGCCGGCGCUUGCCGAUCAACCCAAAUUUUUAUCCAGGUUGACCUCGGAUCAGGUAGGGAUACCCGCUGAACUUAAGCAUAUCAAUAAGCGGAGGA